UAGGGAAUCUUCGGCAAUGGGGGCAACCCUGACCGAGCAACGCCGCGUGAGUGAAGAAGGUUUUCGGAUCGUAAAACUCUGUUGUUAGAGAGGAACAUGCAGGAGAGUAACUGUUCUUGUAUUGACGGUAUCUAACCAGAAAGCCACGGCUAACUACGUGCCAG
RNAcentral lists this ribosomal RNA (164 nucleotides) under uncultured bacterium. RNAcentral describes it as "partial 16S rRNA". It matches the Rfam family "Bacterial small subunit ribosomal RNA", at positions 355 to 511 of the family's 1533-position model. The record is from RNAcentral.